Bos taurus (domestic cattle) is the source of this 72-nucleotide non-coding RNA. The record is from Rfam. Lineage: Eukaryota; Metazoa; Chordata; Mammalia; Artiodactyla; Bovidae.
UUCCUGGUGGCUCAGACGGUAAAGAAUCUGCCUGCAGCGCAGGAGACCCGGGUUCAAUCCCUGGGUGGGGAA